Molecule: long non-coding RNA, 2099 nt
Filed under: Pan troglodytes (chimpanzee)
Lineage: Eukaryota; Metazoa; Chordata; Mammalia; Primates; Hominidae
Description: lincRNA
Source: RNAcentral
CAAACUCCAGUGACCAUAAGAAUCACCUGGAGAGCUUGUUAAAGCACAGAUUUGUGGGCCCCUCACCUGAGAUUCUGAUUCAGUGGGUCUGGAGGGGGGACUUUGCAUUUCUAAUAAGCUCCCAAGUGAUGCUGCAUAGGGCUGCCACAAAUAGUAGGGGCUCAGUCAAGUUAGUAUAAUAGGAUUUUUUUUCCUCUUAUGUUGAAGUCCAUAGGCAGAUAGUCCAGCCUAGUACCAAGGUUUCAGAACCUAGGCUUUUCCCCCUCUCCUUCCUGCCUUAAAUGGCAUUUGGUUUCCUACUCAUGUUUCAGAAUGUUUGCUUGAGCUACAGCCAUCAUGUCCACAUUCAAACCAGUAAGAAAGAGGAAGGGGGAAAGGAUGUCUUCUCUCUUUUUAAGGACAUAUCUCAGAAGUUGUAUGUGACACUCUACUUACAUCUUCUUAGCCAAAACUUCCUCACAAAUCACACUAGCUGCAAAGAAAUCUGGAAAAUAUAGUUUUUAUUUGGGGUGUCAUAUGCCCAGCUAAAAAUCAAGGUUUUAUGAUCAAGGCAGAAGAGAAUGCACUUCUGACAUUACUGAUUUUUAAUGUUACAGCAAACCUUUCCCAACUCUUUCCAGCCAGAGGUUUGCAAUCUAAAACCUGCAAUGGGCUAGGAAAUUACAAUAAAAUUCUGAAUUUCAAACUCUGAUCACCCCUCUACAGGUAAGUAUUAUUUCUUUCAUUUCUGUGUUCAAGAAAUUGAGUCUCAGAGAGCUUCAGUGACUUUCCCGAGAUCUCUCGGUAACUAAAUGCCCCAACCAAGAUUUAAACUCAACCCUGCCAAAGCCCAGGCUUCUAAUGCAUCAUUCUACAUCACAGGAAUCCCACAUAUGUUUGCAGGAUGAGCCUUGAAUCAACCAACUACUGUUGCAUACUAUGCAACCACAAAACUCUGAGACCUAGACACUUAUUUUACUACCAUGUCUACGAGUCAACUGGAGACCAGCUGCUCUAGGCUGGGCUGGACUGGACUCCUCCAAGCCACAGCUGGGUCUGAGUCUGCUCCAUGGUUCUCCAUCUUCCUCAGACUUGUGGGCCUACCAGGGUAGAGCCUUCUCAUGCCAAAAGCAGAGAAGCACAUCUCACUGCUGCUUGUAGUGGGUCUGCUUCCAUUCCCUUGACUGAAGGAAGUCACAUGGCCAAGACAAAAGCUAGGCAGUACAGUCCUCCAGGAGGGAGUAAAUAUUUCUGAAUAUGUUCUUAUUUACCCCAAGUCCCUAUGCAGAUGCAUUGGAAUGGGAAGAGCCCCAGACUGAGAAUUAGAAGUCCCUAGUUCUAGUCCCAGACCUGCCAUGAAUGACUUGUGUGGCCUUGGACAAAAUACUAGCACCUUCUGGGCCUCAUGUUUGUUCUAGAGAUCUCUAAGGCAUAUGCAGGCUUUAACUUAAGAAGCUAUGGCAUGAAAAAACAAAUAAUUGCCUCUCAAAAUUCUAAUCUCCUCUGAAUGUAGCUUAGUCUUUAUGCAAAAAUAAACACACACACUAGAGUCUCUUCAAAACCACUGGGCUAAUAAUGUUCAUGAUUCUGUUAAUGACCAAACUGGAGCACAGUGCAGCUGGUCCUGCUGGUCACAGGAAGGCCCCAGAAAGAAAUGAAGCCAUCAAGAAGCCAUUGAUGCUGUGACCUUCUGUUGCAGGCUGCUCCUCUACUUAGACAGGGAGAAGAUGGCCAUCUAUGAACCAGGAAGCCCUCACUAGACCCCAAGUCUGCCAGCACCUCGAACUUGGAUUCCUCAGUCUUCACAACAGUGUGAGCUGACUCACCGUCAUGCUGUCUCUGAGAAGACUCCAUCUCUUGGAGAACAAUCUGCCUUGUUCAUGGCAUGAUGCAUGAAGAAAAGCAGCUGGGCAGGAGAGGGACAGAAAAAUCUCCCAUCUUCCUGCAUAGCUGAGGCUUUCCCUACUCCUAGGGAGAAGGCACUGAAGUGAAUCCCAUGAACAUUCUCAACUGUUUCCAAAAUGUUGCCAAUAUUCUUCUGUGUAUUGAUAUUUUGAAAUCCCCAAUGUAGUGGUAUGUUGUAUUUUAGCCCAGAUUUCAAAUUGUAUAUGUUUCAUUCU